CAUGUGCUUCCUCUGGGACAUCAGCACCAGGUGAAGUUUCAGAACAUCGGAGAGGAAAUGUAGCUGAUCCAGACAGUGUUACAUAUGCUGCUGUCACAGCCAAACCAAAGAGGGAGAGAGUUUGUAAACAGACAAAUGAAUCAGAUCCAGACAAAACAACAUAUGCUACUGUUGCAAAUCAGAGGACAGACAGAGGUCAUUGACAUAAAAAAAGACAUCUCAAUACAGAAAAAUUUAAGACAUGAAUCUGAAGCUUUUU
Molecule: long non-coding RNA, 259 nt
Organism: Oreochromis niloticus (Nile tilapia)
Lineage: Eukaryota; Metazoa; Chordata; Actinopteri; Cichliformes; Cichlidae
Exons: 4
Source: RefSeq, a predicted model, not a curated record